Lathyrus oleraceus (garden pea) is the source of this 1385-nucleotide long non-coding RNA. RefSeq lists it as uncharacterized. The transcript is spliced from 2 exons. The record is from RefSeq and is a predicted model, not a curated record. Lineage: Eukaryota; Viridiplantae; Streptophyta; Magnoliopsida; Fabales; Fabaceae.
UCCAACAGAAUCAGCCUGGGCCUACUUCAUCUCAAGCCCAAACAUGGGGGUUCAAUGGACAAUGGAGGGAGUGAGCACUGCAAAUAAUUAGGCCUAACACAAGUAUUGGGGCCUAAAUGGGGAAACUGGCCUGCUUGAGCAAAAAAUCCCAAAUCCUAAGUCAAACCUGAGCUCAAUCAAGUAAGCCACAACCAAGUCGUCAUGUUCGAACAAGGAAAAAGAACUCAUACGUCAAGACUCACCAGUGGUGACGAAAAACUCCUCGCCGGCGGCGUAGGCGAGCAACCAGGAAUCCGGUCUCGUUCAUGUGUUAUGCUUCGAUCUGAUCUUUCACUCCAUAUCGUGAUUGUCCGAUUUGCUCCGUUUUCAACGAAGACUCCGAUUUCGCGGCGAUGCAUUCUGAGAUGACGACGACAAGUUCAGGUCCGCGUGCAUUUAUCCAGGAGUGCUUCGCCUCGUAUUUCUCUUCUGCUUCAAUAUUCUAUUUCUGUUUCUCGGUGUCUCAUCGUAGUGGAUCGCCUUGCCGUUUUGGAUGAAGACUAUGCAUUGUUGUUGUUCGGUUUCACGAUAUGGUGAUGCAGGUGAUUUGCAGAAUUGAAAACAAAGUGAUGUGUGGUGCGUGAGAAUCUUCGUAAUGGAUGUGAGAGUUUGUAGAGAUUCAACUCAGAAGUAGGAGGAGCGAUUUGUUCUGCAUAAUCGACUUUGGUUGAAAAAAAAUGGGGGAUUCGGGAGAGAAGUUGAGAGGGAAAAGAUUGUGAAGCAGAAAGGGAGGGAGCAAAAAAAAGAGAGCCCCAAAAUCACAUUGUAAUCGUGUAUUUAUAGCUCUCAAAAUGAACUUUGGUGAGUUUUUUAUUCUAAUCUGCAUUUGUGUUUUGAAUUCCUUUCAAUUGAAUCCCUCUGUGUUUUGCUCACAUUGCUGCUUUUUAUUGUUGGUUGCCGUUUUGCAUUUCAAUACUCAUAUCAUUUUGCUGCAUUUUUUGUGUCGUUUAUGGUUUUUGAUGCGAGUUCGUCGUUUGGAAGUGAGCUUGUAGUUGCUGGUGUCAUUUGGUCGUGUUAGCUGCAUUUGGAUUGUUAUGCAUUUGUCGUUUAUGCUAUUGGCAUGCACAGAAUGCUGUUGCGUUCCACGUUUCCUCAUCUUUCACGCUUGCAUUCUGUUUUGGUUGGCUUUGUGUUUCGUUCUGCUCUGGACUAAGCAUUCGUUGUGUUUUGCUACAGCUACUUGCCUUUGUCUUAUUUGCAAGGACUUGGAUUUUAAUAUGGACAUGGGUAUUGUAAUAUGGAUAAUAGGCCUUUUGGAUUAAGUGGAUUAGAGAUUACUUGUAAAAUGGACUAAAUUGUAAUUGGAUUUAAAAAAUGGAUAAUAAAUGGAUUAGUUAAAAUGAAAA